Molecule: ribosomal RNA, 291 nt
Filed under: uncultured bacterium
Lineage: Bacteria
Description: partial 16S ribosomal RNA
Rfam family: Bacterial small subunit ribosomal RNA
Source: RNAcentral
AGCCUACGGGAGGCAGCAGUGGGGGAUAUUGCACAAUGGGGGGAACCCUGAUGCAGCGACGCCGCGUGGGUGAAGGAGCGUUUCGGCGCGUAAAGCCCUAUCGGCAGGGAAGAAGGAGGACGGUACCUGACUAAGAAGCCCCGGCUAACUACGUGCCAGCAGCCGCGGUAAUACGUAGGGGGCAAGCGUUAUCCGGAAUUACUGGGUGUAAAGGGAGCGUAGGCGGUGAUGCAAGUCAGAUGUGAAAACCCGGGGCUCAACCCCGGGGGUGCAUUUGAAACUGUGUGACUG